UUUGGGUACGCUAUUGCUGUUUGUCGCAUUUGCGAGCACCAUAUUUCCGCUGGGUGUGUCCCUCUGACUAUAUUGCCCUUGUUCUGCCUGCAACUGAGAAGAGAACUGCAUACUGCGUGUUUCGUGUGCGCAUAGCUGUUUUCCACGUCGCUCGACCUUUCCCGCUACAGUACCAUCUCUCUCACUCCAUUGCUCGGAAUUGAGCUUAAAAGUACGAGAACAUUUCGCUUCAUACAAGGAUAUUAACCACACUUUUUUUUAGCCUAUGAAAAUAAGCAACAAUAGGUGACUGAAUUGGGAGAGAAGAAGGAGAACCCAUGCUGCCAUACCCAACUGCUCGGGAGCUGGGUGUACAAAGACAGCCUGGAGGAGGGAGGAGAACCCAUACUGCCAUACCCAACAGCCUGGAGGAAGAAGGAGAACCCAUACUGCCAUACCCUACAGCCUGGAGGAGGGAGGAGAACCCAUACUGCCAUACCCAACUACUCGGGAGCUGGGUGUACAAAGACAGCCUGGAGGAGGGAGGAGAACCCAUGCUGCCAUACCCUACAGCCUGGAGGAGGGAGGAGAACCCAUACUGCCAUACCCUACAGCCUGGAGGAGGGAGGAGAACCCAUACUGCCAUACCCUACAGCCUGGAGGAGGGAGGAGAACCCAUACUGCCAUACCCUACAGCCUGGAGGAGGGAGGAGAACCCAUACUGCCAUACCCAACAGCCUGGAGGAGGGAGGAGAACCUGGUGACACAUGGUGUUCUUGAAUGAAACAAUUAUUUCUUCAUGACAGUAGUUUUUUUCUUUGAACAAUUUUCACUUGAUUUAAGGUUAGAUUCAUGUAGUUUCUUUGGAGUGUAAGAUCAAGCUGACAAACAACAAUUACAUUUGUAUGUAGCCUUUCCUGUUCAGUAACUAUUGUGGGCACUGUAGGAGUGUGAGUACACCAUCAAAAACUAACUAUUAGUGAAAUACUUUUAACAUAUUUCCCCAAUACCCUUUUCAUUAUGAUUAGCAAUGUUCUGCGUUUGUAUGGUGGAAAUAUUUUAAAUGGCUUCUUUAAACUAUGCCAUCCAACACAGAUGUACUUUUUAGUGUCUUCAAAUUGUUGAGGUCUUUGUUAUUAGAAUUGUGGUUUUGUAUACUGUGCUAACGUCAAUAACAGUAGCAAAUGAGGCAUUUAUGGUGAGUAAAUAGGAGCCUCAAUAUUUGUGCCAAUUCAUUGACACCAAAACCCUUUUAGAAGCAAAUGAUUUUGCCUCUAAAACAGUAGAACAUAUUAUCUGCACUAUAAUUGUCAAUGAUGUGUAGAUUUGAACACUGAGUGACUGGGUGCCUAUGUACGUCUGUAUGGUUGCAAGCAAGAGUCUGGUCAUGUGUUCUGCCGUCAGAUGGCUUGCAAAUUGAAACCGCUCUGACCCAGUCAUCUGGCAAAAACGAUUUGGCCUUGGCGCAGUGGAAGAAGACGUGUAUAUAGAAUACCAGUCAAAAGUGUGGACACCUUUAACAAUUCACUUGAAUGGGUAAGUGCGUUUGUACUUGUGGGCUGAUGGAAAAGCAGUCAACAAGUGCUCAGCAUAUGUGGAAACUCCUUCAAGUGUGCUGGAAAGGCAUUCCAGGUGACUACCUCAUGAUUUUGGUUGAAAGAAUGCCAAGAGGGUGCAAAGCUUUCCUCAAGGGUGGGCUAAUCUAUAAUAUGAAAGCUAUUGCUCAACAUCCUUUUGGUUCUUGCAUGAUUCCAUACUUUUUAGUUUUGAUGUCUUCACUAUUAUUCUACAACGUGUUGAAAAUAGUACAAAUAAAGACCUAUGUUCUAAUGAG
Molecule: long non-coding RNA, 1813 nt
Organism: Esox lucius (northern pike)
Lineage: Eukaryota; Metazoa; Chordata; Actinopteri; Esociformes; Esocidae
Exons: 2
Source: RefSeq, a predicted model, not a curated record